RNAcentral lists this microRNA precursor (84 nucleotides) under Bombyx mori (domestic silkworm). Its description in RNAcentral is "mir-2807 microRNA precursor family". It matches the Rfam family "mir-2807 microRNA precursor family". The record is from Rfam by way of RNAcentral. Lineage: Eukaryota; Metazoa; Arthropoda; Insecta; Lepidoptera; Bombycidae.
UUUACUCAAUUUUGUAUGGAGUUGGAACGUUUGCCUACGUUUGCCGCUAGGGGCACUGUUCCAACUCCAUACAAAUUUGUGUUA